AAAACCUCUCUUAAAUGUAGCAUAAUCCCUGGAUACUAAUACCAGAGUUUUGUAGAUGAGAGACAUAUUCUUUUCUCUGGUACUGCAAUUGCACUACACACCUUGGUGACAUUUUAAUUAGUCUAAAUUUAUAUGCUUUUUCAGUAAAGCCUAUUACCCUUAGAAUCAGUGUUCUUGUUAGAAUGAUAAAAAGGAAUUAUUUCUUUGCAAAUUCCUUUUAAGAUCUAUUGUUACUUUAGGCUUAAUAUAAGUUAAAAAGGGUUGUUGAUAUUCAUCUACUGUGAAUUUCCUUAGUAGUACUGCUUGCUGUACUAAGAGCUGGAGAGAAAAGACACAUGAAAAAAAAUGAGAAUCCAGAAGAAAAAAUGGAAGGGAGUAAUAAGUGUGCAUUACUCAGACUUUAUAUAAAAGCUAGUAAUGUAAUUUUGAAGUUUUUUCUUUCAAUCUUCUAUUUUGGAUAUGUUAAUUUGUUUCAAUUAUCAUUUUAGGAAAAACAUUUUGUAGCUGUAAGAUAAGGAUAAUGUCAUAUUUCCUUACAAUUGAAUUACAAAUAAUUGAAUCUUAAUGGUUUUAAAUUAGUAUUUAUGUUGCAAGAAAUUUGUUUUACUUCUGUAAUUUGCUAAACUGAUGCUUUGUGGAAACAGUUUGAAUACCUUAAGAAACACUUGGAUGAACUGACUUCAAAAAAUAGACACUUGGAAUAUAUGAAUACAAAACUUAAAGAAGAAAUUAUGGAAUGUGAGGAGCUGGAUAUUGAAGAUAAUUUAGAAAGAUCGAAAUUAAAAUACAAUCGGGUGGAACCAUAUACACCAAAGAUUAAAGUACAAGUGAAGCAGGAGACUGAAGAACAAAAUGAUCUUUUCUUACAGUUUGAAUACCUUAAGAAACACUUGGAUGAACUGACUUCAAAAAAUAGACACUUGGAAUAUAUGAAUACAAAACUUAAAGAAGAAAUUAUGGAAUGUGACGAGCUGGAUCUAGAAGAUAAUUUAGAAAGAUUGAAAUUAAAAUACAAUUGGGUGGAACCAUAUACACCAAAGAUUAAAAUACAAGUGAAGCAGGAAACUGAAGAACUAAAUGAUCUAUUCUUACAGAUUCAAGACCUGGAAGCUGAAGUCUUAAAAAUGAAAAUCUCACAUCAAGAGACUAAAGCAAAACUAGAGAGAUGCAAAAAGGAUUAUUCUCAAGAAUAUAGGAAAUGAUCAGCAUGAUGAUUUCAGAGAGGUCAGGGGAGACAUACGUAAACUGAUGCUAAGUGAAAUGAGAAGAAAAAGGCUAUUUUUGUACAUGGCAAAAUUAUAUGAUGAUCAAUUCUCAUGAACGUGACUCUUCACCAAUGGGAUCAUUCAGGUCUGCUGACGAUCUUGGGAUCAUGGGAGCCAUCUACACCCAGAGAGAGGACUGUGGCAACUGAUGGUGGAUUACAACAUAGCAUUUUCAUUCCUGUUGUUGUGCUUUGUUUGAAUUUUAUUCUCUCUCUCUUUCUCUUUUAACUUUUUGAUUUUUUUUUUUUUUGCGUGUGCAGCAAGAUAAUUUUAUUAAUAUGUAUGCCUAUAUUGGAUUUAAUGUAUAUAUUUUGACCAUAUUUAAUGUGUAUUGGAUUUCUUGAUAUUUAGGGAAUGGGGUGAGGAGAAGGGGGUGGAAAUUAGAACAUAAGGGUUUUUCAAGGGUCAAUGUUAAAAAAGUAUAAAAUAAAAAUCAAAUUAAUAAUUGGGACCUGAAAAAAAUAUUAGUAAUGUUU
Long non-coding RNA from Sarcophilus harrisii (Tasmanian devil), 1741 nucleotides. NCBI's taxonomy places the organism in Eukaryota, Metazoa, Chordata, Mammalia, Dasyuromorphia, Dasyuridae. The record is from Ensembl.